CCAGACUCCUACGGGAGGCAGCAGUGGGGGAUAUUGCACAAUGGGGGGAACCCUGAUGCAGCGACGCCGCGUGGGUGAAGAAGCGCCUCGGCGCGUAAAGCCCUGUCAGCAGGGAAGAAAAUGACGGUACCUGAAGAAGAAGCUCCGGCUAACUACGUGCCAGCAGCCGCGGUAAUACGUAGGGAGCAAGCGUUAUCCGGAUUUAUUGGGUGUAAAGGGUGCGUAGACGGGAAAUUAAGUUAGUUGUGAAAUCCCUCGGCUCAACUGAGGAACUGCAACUAAAACUGGUUUUCUUGAGUGUUGGAGAGGAAAGCGGAAUUCCUAGUGUAGCGGUGAAAUGCGUAGAUAUUAGGAGGAACACCAGUGGCGAAGGCGGCUUUCUGGACAAUAACUGACGUUGAGGCACGAAAGUGUGGGGAGCAAACAGGAUUAGAUACCCUAGUA
Molecule: ribosomal RNA, 444 nt
Filed under: uncultured bacterium
Lineage: Bacteria
Description: partial 16S ribosomal RNA
Rfam family: Bacterial small subunit ribosomal RNA
Source: RNAcentral